Molecule: transfer RNA, 76 nt
Filed under: Skeletonema costatum
Lineage: Eukaryota; Bacillariophyta; Thalassiosirophyceae; Thalassiosirales; Thalassiosiraceae
Description: Selenocysteine transfer RNA
Source: RNAcentral
CUGAGAAGGAUGCUCUGCUCUCGCAGGCCAACAAGUUGCACCCUCCCCACCAUGGCAUGCUUGCUCCCAUCAAAGA